AGUCUCUAUAUCUCCCUGCUGCUAAGACUUCUCAUGCAACAUCGAUGCAAUGUAUUCUAACCAGCCUUUUGGUCGUGUUUGUCCCAGUUUUGUCUGUCAGGCCCAGUAAAGCAUCCUUGAGUGACCAUCCACCUGAUCUCAGUGUGAAUUACUCCAACACACACACAG
Long non-coding RNA from Sinocyclocheilus rhinocerous, 168 nucleotides. RefSeq lists it as uncharacterized. The record is from RefSeq and is a predicted model, not a curated record. NCBI's taxonomy places the organism in Eukaryota, Metazoa, Chordata, Actinopteri, Cypriniformes, Cyprinidae. The transcript is spliced from 3 exons.